UAUAACAUUAAACGACUCUCGGCAACGGAUAUCUCGGCUCUCGCAUCGAUGAAGAACGUAGCGAAAUGCGAUACUUGGUGUGAAUUGCAGAAUCCCGUGAACCAUUGAGUCUUUGAACGCAAGUUGCGCCCGAAGCCUUUAGGUCGAGGGCACGCCUGCUUGGGCGUCACGC
Molecule: ribosomal RNA, 172 nt
Filed under: Chenopodium quinoa (quinoa)
Lineage: Eukaryota; Viridiplantae; Streptophyta; Magnoliopsida; Caryophyllales; Amaranthaceae
Also listed under: 1 other name
Description: 5.8S ribosomal RNA
Rfam family: 5.8S ribosomal RNA
About the family: 5.8S ribosomal RNA (5.8S rRNA) is a component of the large subunit of the eukaryotic ribosome. It is transcribed by RNA polymerase I as part of the 45S precursor that also contains 18S and 28S rRNA. Functionally, it is thought that 5.8S rRNA may be involved in ribosome translocation.
Source: RNAcentral